CCUACGGGAGGCAGCAGUGGGGAAUAUUGGACAAUGGGGGCAACCCUGAUCCAGCCAUGCCGCGUGUGUGAAGAAGGCCCUCGGGUUGUAAAGCACUUUCAGUGAGGAAGAACGCCUGGUGGUUAAUACCCAUCAGGAAAGACAUCACUCACAGAAGAAGCACCGGCUAACUCCGUGCCAGCAGCCGCGGUAAUACGGAGGGUGCGAGCGUUAAUCGGAAUUACUGGGCGUAAAGCGCGCGUAGGUGGCUUGAUAAGCCGGUUGUGAAAGCCCCGGGCUCAACCUGGGAACGGCAUCCGGAACUGUCAAGCUAGAGUGCAGGAGAGGAAGGUAGAAUUCCCGGUGUAGCGGUGAAAUGCGUAGAGAUCGGGAGGAAUACCAGUGGCGAAGGCGGCCUUCUGGACGGACACUGACACUGAGGUGCGAAAGCGUGGGUAGCAAACAGGAUUAGAUACCCCUGUAGUC
RNAcentral lists this ribosomal RNA (465 nucleotides) under Vreelandella stevensii. RNAcentral's name for it is "partial 16S ribosomal RNA". It matches the Rfam family "Bacterial small subunit ribosomal RNA", at positions 338 to 795 of the family's 1533-position model. The record is from RNAcentral. Lineage: Bacteria; Pseudomonadati; Pseudomonadota; Gammaproteobacteria; Oceanospirillales; Halomonadaceae.